CCCAGUUUUUAUUUUGGUGGAAGAACCCUCAUGUAGACCUCAAAGGUGUUUUGACCUGAGCAGAUGACAGCUCUGGCUCACAGAGCAGCCUUGCAGGGGCUGUGGGGGCCAGGAAAGAGGGGUUCAUCCUAGACCAAAGCCAGAGUGCUUCUCCUUUCCAGCCCAAAAGCACACUGUGGGGUGAGGCCACAUGCUGGGGACUCAUCUCUGUGCAAAAAGAAGAUUCAACACCCACAGGAAAGGGUGUCUAACACACCAUCCCAGCAUUUGACCCACCCAGGAAGGCUGUGGCUGUUGUACCAUCCUGUGAACCUCGGCAUUGCUCUUGUAAAGCCCUGAACUUGCUGCUUCUUCUGGUGCGGGAGGAUGCAAAGUACUUUCUAUAUCCCAAUGCAGAUGGCUGAGACUUAAUGAACCAGGAAAGCUGGAGCUCCAGAAGGUUGUGCUGAGAAGAUGCUGGUACACAGUUUGGGGAUGCUCACCAUUGUUGAAAACCCACCCAGG
Molecule: long non-coding RNA, 504 nt
Organism: Corvus hawaiiensis (hawaiian crow)
Lineage: Eukaryota; Metazoa; Chordata; Aves; Passeriformes; Corvidae
Exons: 3
Source: RefSeq, a predicted model, not a curated record